CAAAAAUCAAAACCCCAAAAAUUUACCUAUGCGUAGGCCGCAGAGAAAAAGAGAGAGCACAACAAAUUACUAAAAAAAAAAAAACAACAAUAAUUAAACAUAAACAAUAAACAUGCCCCAAUUUAACAUUAUACUUGAAAAUUGAAAUUGAAAUUAUAUCACAAUUUCACAAUUCGUAUUUCGUAAUUCAUCUCAAUUGGCCACGCUCACGCAUGCCAAGAAGGAAUCGGAUUUGGGGGAAGAAGUAGAACUCAAGAAGGGUUUGACUGAAGGAAAUCAAGAAUUGGAUUUGGGGGAAGGGGAAACUGAAUCUGAAAUUGACUGCAGCUGCGGGGUACUGUACUGUGCGGACGUCGGACCGACUGCUGGAGAGACAAGAGAGUGGAGUGGAAUGUGAAAUUAGUGGACCUCUGCCUCUGGUAAACAGGUAUGUUAUCUAGUUUUUUAACCAUUUGGGCUAGCAUAAUUAUAAAAAAAAAAAGGCCCAACACCAACAAUUCAACAGAAUUUGCCAUCACAGUGAGUCCACAGCCAGAGCAGCAGGUGAGCGGGGGCGAAAUCUGUAAAUCAUCGACUGCCAUCAUAGCCAAUGCGACGCCCGGUGGAGGUUCCGGCGAAUUCAGCUAGGGCGGAGGUUCCGGCGAAUUCAGCUAGGGCGGCCGCCCUAGCUGGCCUAUGGCUGAAUCCGCCUCUGUUUGUAAUAUAAUCUUUCCUUAUACAACACUAUAUUUUUGCCUUUUGAUUGAAUCCAAAACUGUUUGGUUUGCAUUUGGUUUGGGUUUCUUUAGUUUAAUUUGAUAGUUCUUAGAGAAAAAUGGAGGGUGGUGCAGCUGCUAUUUCAACAGAGAAGGCAUCAGAAUCUGCUGUGGUAGCCUCAUACACCUAUUGGGUUAGGGAAUUAACCCAUGAUGCAGCUCCAAGACCCGUCCCCAAGAAGGUUAAUAUGUAGGAUUUUCCCAAUCAAUCCUAGCCGACCCACCUCGACUCCACAUGGAAUUGGGUAUCCAUUUGGAGGAUUUGCCCAAGCGGAUAUGUCGGCACCGACAAUGGUGGCGGAAGGUGGCGGCAGCUUUUGGAUUUGGUUUUGAGGUCUGGGGAUGGGAAUGGAGCUGGGGGUAGAGGGAAGCAGAAGAAG
This 1135-nucleotide long non-coding RNA is filed under the name Olea europaea subsp. europaea. Lineage: Eukaryota; Viridiplantae; Streptophyta; Magnoliopsida; Lamiales; Oleaceae. The record is from RNAcentral.